AUUCCAGUCAGUGAAUCUGCUUACCUGAUUGUGUUUGCAGAAAUUUUUUAGAACUGGCAAUAGCAAUGCCAUGUCACAAGCCUUAAUGACACUAGGGUUUUUAAGGCCCCUGAAAGUGGCUACAUGA
Erinaceus europaeus (western European hedgehog) is the source of this 127-nucleotide small nucleolar RNA. The record is from Ensembl. NCBI's taxonomy places the organism in Eukaryota, Metazoa, Chordata, Mammalia, Eulipotyphla, Erinaceidae.